This 507-nucleotide ribosomal RNA is filed under the name uncultured bacterium. RNAcentral describes it as "partial 16S ribosomal RNA". It matches the Rfam family "Bacterial small subunit ribosomal RNA", at positions 28 to 523 of the family's 1533-position model. The record is from RNAcentral.
GAUGAACGCUAGCUACAGGCUUAACACAUGCAAGUCGAGGGGAAACGAUAUUGGAAGCUUGCUUCUGAUAGGCGUCGACCGGCGCACGGGUGAGUAACGCGUAUCCAACCUGCCCAUCACUUGGGGAUAACCUUGCGAAAGUAAGACUAAUACCCAAUGACGUCUCUAGAAGACAUCUGAAGGAGAUUAAAGAUUUAUCGGUGAUGGAUGGGGAUGCGUCUGAUUAGCUUGUUGGCGGGGUAACGGCCCACCAAGGCGACGAUCAGUAGGGGUUCUGAGAGGAAGGUCCCCCACAUUGGAACUGAGACACGGUCCAAACUCCUACGGGAGGCAGCAGUGAGGAAUAUUGGUCAAUGGGCGAGAGCCUGAACCAGCCAAGUAGCGUGCAGGAAGACGACCCUAUGGGUUGUAACUGCUUUUAUAAGGGAAUAAAGUGGGAGUCGUGACUCCUUUUGCAUGUACCUUAUGAAUAAGGACCGGCUAAUUCCGUGCCAGCAGCCGCCGUAA